RNAcentral lists this long non-coding RNA (953 nucleotides) under Gossypium raimondii (Peruvian cotton). Its description in RNAcentral is "long non-coding RNA (GRAI_LNC001825)". The record is from RNAcentral. Lineage: Eukaryota; Viridiplantae; Streptophyta; Magnoliopsida; Malvales; Malvaceae.
UAUAUAUAUAUAUAUACGUAUUGAUAUUGAAUUUAUUGAUAGUAAUUGUUGAAUUUUGAAUAAUAUGUUUAGUAAAUAAAAAUAAGGAGAAUAUCGAUAUUUAAUUGAAUGAAUUAAAAAUAUGAAUUGAAUAAAAGUGAAUUAAAUUAUGAAUAAGUGUGAAUACGUGAAUUGAGUAUUGACUGAAAAGUGGUUUGAUUCGAAUCGAAGUAUGAUUUGUGAAAUAUGUAUUGGUACUGAACUGUACAUUGAUUUGAAUGUGGGAAGUGAAUUUGAAAUAGAAAAAUGUAUUGAAUCAAAUGGUGAUUAAAUUGGAAUGAUUUGAAUUGAAAGUAUGAGAAAGUGAUUGAAUUGAAAUGUGAUUCGGAAACCCUAUUAACUAGUCGGGCUGAGUCGGAUAUAGUUGGCAUGCCAUAGAAUUGGAAGUGUUCAGGGAUACUUCGACCUUGAGUCGAUGAGACACUGGGUGUCAUACUGUUACUUCGAAUAGAUUCGAUGAGGUACUGGGUACCAACUUACUUCGGCUUUGCCGAUGAGACACUGGGUGUCAACUAUUGCUUCGAACUAUCCGAUGAGGCACUGGGUGCCAUUCUGGUGUGUUUGGUUGGAUCUGUGUAUCCGCCAAGGUCCGAGUCUUGUUAAUAGGGGUAAAUAAUUGAAAUGAGAAAAUUUGAAUAAGUGUGACUGAUUGGGAUAUGGAAAGAAAUGAGAAAGUGAAAUUGUGAAUUGAUAUGUGAAUUGGAAAUCGAGAUAUGAGAUUUAAAUAUAUGAACCCAAAGUUCAUAAUAUGAUAAAGAGUAAAUUUUGUUAUAUGAUAUUAGUGAGUAAAAAUUGCAAUAAAAUUGAUAUUGAAUAUAAAUUAAAUGAAAUGAAUUGUAUAUGAAUUGAAAUGAACUAUUGGAAUGAGAUGUAAAGAAAAAAAAUCCCACGGAAUUGAGAUAGUGAAAUAAGGU